RNAcentral lists this microRNA precursor (89 nucleotides) under Picea abies (Norway spruce). Its description in RNAcentral is "miR156ab stem-loop (pab-MIR156ab)". Its record names the gene pab-MIR156ab. The record is from miRBase by way of RNAcentral. Lineage: Eukaryota; Viridiplantae; Streptophyta; Pinopsida; Pinales; Pinaceae.
UUUGUUGACAGGAGAUAGAGAGCACAUGCGCUCACAUGCAGAGGCUCUGCGUUCGAGGUGUAUGUGCUCUCUAUGCUCCUGUCGUCACG